RNAcentral lists this ribosomal RNA (401 nucleotides) under uncultured bacterium. RNAcentral's name for it is "bacterial SSU rRNA". It matches the Rfam family "Bacterial small subunit ribosomal RNA", at positions 30 to 417 of the family's 1533-position model. The record is from RNAcentral.
AGUGAACGCUGGCGGCAGGCCUAACACAUGCAAGUCGAGCGGCAGCGCGUCCGACCACCCUCGGGUGGUCGGAUGGCGGCGAGCGGCGGACGGGUGAGGAAUGCAUCGGAAUCUGCCUCGUUGUGGGGGAUAACGUAGGGAAACUUACGCUAAUACCGCAUACGACCUACGGGUGAAAGUGGGGGACCUUCGGGCCUCACGCGAUGAGAUGAGCCGAUGCCGGAUUAGCUAGUUGGCGGGGUAAAGGCCCACCAAGGCGACGAUCCGUAGCUGGUCUGAGAGGAUGAUCAGCCACACUGGAACUGAGACACGGUCCAGACUCCUACGGGAGGCAGCAGUGGGGAAUAUUGGACAAUGGGGGCAUCCCUGAUCCAGCCAUGCCGCGUGUGUGAAGAAGGCCU